CGGACGGGUGAGUAAUGUCUGGGAAACUGCCUGAUGGAGGGGGAUAACUACUGGAAACGGUAGCUAUACCGCAUAACGUCGCAAGACCAAAGAGGGGGACCUUAGGGCCUCUUGCCAUCGGAUGUGCCCAGAUGGGAUUAGCUAGUAGGUGGGGUAAAGGCUCACCUAGGCGACGAUCCCUAGCUGGUCUGAGAGGAUGACCAGCCACACUGGAACUGAGACACGGUCCAG
Molecule: ribosomal RNA, 231 nt
Filed under: uncultured bacterium
Lineage: Bacteria
Description: partial 16S ribosomal RNA
Rfam family: Bacterial small subunit ribosomal RNA
Source: RNAcentral